This 253-nucleotide ribosomal RNA is filed under the name uncultured bacterium. RNAcentral describes it as "partial 16S ribosomal RNA". It matches the Rfam family "Bacterial small subunit ribosomal RNA", at positions 524 to 776 of the family's 1533-position model. The record is from RNAcentral.
UACGAAGGGUGCAAACGUUGCUCGGAAUCAUUGGGCGUAAAGCGCACGUAGGCGGCUUCGCAAGUCGGAUGUGAAAUCCCUCGGCUCAACCGAGGACGUGCAUCCGAAACUGCGGAGCUUGAGUAUGGAAGAGGGUCGCGGAAUUCCCGGUGUAGAGGUGAAAUUCGUAGAUAUCGGGGGGAACACCAGUGGCGAAGGCGGCGACCUGGGCCAAUACUGACGCUGAGGUGCGAAAGCGUGGGGAGCGAACCGG